This 664-nucleotide ribosomal RNA is filed under the name uncultured cyanobacterium. RNAcentral describes it as "bacterial SSU rRNA". It matches the Rfam family "Bacterial small subunit ribosomal RNA", at positions 99 to 796 of the family's 1533-position model. Lineage: Bacteria; Bacillati; Cyanobacteriota. The record is from RNAcentral.
CGGACGGGUGAGUAACGCGUGAGAAUCUGCCUUCAGGUCGGGGACAACCACUGGAAACGGUGGCUAAUACCCGAUGUGCGCAACGUGAAAGAUUUAUCGCCUGAAGAGGAGCUCGCGUCUGAUUAGCUAGUUGGUGGGGUAAAAGCUCACCAAGGCGACGAUCAGUAGCUGGUCUGAGAGGAUGAUCAGCCACACUGGGACUGAGACACGGCCCAGACUCCUACGGGAGGCAGCAGUGGGGAAUUUUCCGCAAUGGGCGAAAGCCUGACGGAGCAAGACCGCGUGAGGGAGGAAGGCUCUUGGGUUGUAAACCUCUUUUCUCAGGGAAGAACACAAUGACGGUACCUGAGGAAUCAGCCUCGGCUAACUCCGUGCCAGCAGCCGCGGUAAUACGGAGGAGGCAAGCGUUAUCCGGAAUUAUUGGGCGUAAAGCGUCCGCAGGUGGCACUUCAAGUCUGUCGUCAAAGACUGGGGCUUAACCCUGGAAAGGCGGUGGAAACUGAAGCGCUAGAGUGUGGUAGGGGGUAGAGGGAAUUCCCGGUGUAGCGGUGAAAUGCGUAGAGAUCGGGAAGAACAUCGGUGGCGAAGGCGCUCUACUGGACCACAACUGACACUCAGGGACGAAAGCUAGGGGAGCGAAUGGGAUUAGAUACCCCAGUAGUCA